GACCAGCGGAGGGAUCAUUACCGAGUUUACAACUCCCAAACCCCUGUGAACAUACCACUUGUUGCCUCGGCGGAUCAGCCCGCUCCCGGUAAAACGGGACGGCCCGCCAGAGGACCCCUAAACUCUGUUUCUAUAUGUAACUUCUGAGUAAAACCAUAAAUAAAUCAAAACUUUCAACAACGGAUCUCUUGGUUCUGGCAUCGAUGAAGAACGCAGCAAAAUGCGAUAAGUAAUGUGAAUUGCAGAAUUCAGUGAAUCAUCGAAUCUUUGAACGCACAUUGCGCCCGCCAGUAUUCUGGCGGGCAUGCCUGUUCGAGCGUCAUUUCAACCCUCAAGCACAGCUUGGUGUUGGGACUCGCGUUAAUUCGCGUUCCUCAAAUUGAUUGGCGGUCACGUCGAGCUUCCAUAGCGUAGUAGUAAAACCCUCGUUACUGGUAAUCGUCGCGGCCACGCCGUUAAACCCCAACUUCUGAAUGUUGACCUCGGAUCAGGUAGGAAUACCCGCUGAACUUAAGCAUAUCAAUAAGCGGAGGAAAAGAAACCAACAGGGAUUGCCCUAGUAACGGCGAGUGAAGCGGCAACAGCUCAAAUUUGAAAUCUGGCUCUCGGGCCCGAGUUGUAAUUUGUAGAGGAUACUUUUGAUGCGGUGCCUUCCGAGUUCCCUGGAACGGGACGCCAUAGAGGGUGAGAGCCCCGUCUGGUUGGAUGCCAAAUCUCUGUAAAGUUCCUUCAACGAGUCGAGUAGUUUGGGAAUGCUGCUCUAAAUGGGAGGUAUAUGUCUUCUAAAGCUAAAUACCGGCCAGAGACCGAUAGCGCACAAGUAGAGUGAUCGAAAGAUGAAAAGCACUUUGAAAAGAGAGUUAAAAAGUACGUGAAAUUGUUGAAAGGGAAGCGUUUAUGACCAGACUUGGGCUUGGUUAAUCAUCUGGGGUUCUCCCCAGUGCACUUUUCCAGUCCAGGCCAGCAUCAGUUUUCCCCGGGGGAUAAAGGCGGCGGGAAUGUGGCUCUCUUCGGGGAGUGUUAUAGCCCGUCGUGUAAUACCCUGGGGGGGACUGAGGUUCGCGC
Molecule: ribosomal RNA, 1065 nt
Filed under: Fusarium sp.
Lineage: Eukaryota; Fungi; Ascomycota; Sordariomycetes; Hypocreales; Nectriaceae
Description: eukaryotic LSU rRNA
Rfam family: Eukaryotic large subunit ribosomal RNA (bases 478-1065)
Source: RNAcentral